CGGCGGACGGGUGAGUAACGCGUGGGUGACCUGCCCCAUACCGGGGGAUAACAGCUGGAAACGGCUGCUAAUACCGCAUAAGCGCACAGAGCUGCAUGGCUCGGUGUGAAAAACUCCGGUGGUAUGGGAUGGGCCCGCGUCUGAUUAGGCAGUUGGCGGGGUAACGGCCCACCAAACCGACGAUCAGUAGCCGGCCUGGGAGGGCGACCGGCCACAUUGGGACUGAGACACGGCCCAA
This 238-nucleotide ribosomal RNA is filed under the name uncultured bacterium. Its description in RNAcentral is "partial 16S ribosomal RNA". It matches the Rfam family "Bacterial small subunit ribosomal RNA", at positions 96 to 334 of the family's 1533-position model. The record is from RNAcentral.